RNAcentral lists this ribosomal RNA (500 nucleotides) under uncultured bacterium. RNAcentral describes it as "partial 16S ribosomal RNA". It matches the Rfam family "Bacterial small subunit ribosomal RNA", at positions 28 to 507 of the family's 1533-position model. The record is from RNAcentral.
GACGAACGCUGGCGGCGUGCCUAAUACAUGCAAGUCGAGCGGACUGAUUAAGAGCUUGCUCUUAUGACGUUAGCGGCGGACGGGUGAGUAACACGUGGGCAACCUGCCCUGUAGAUCGGGAUAACACCGAGAAAUCGGUGCUAAUACCGGGUAAUAUCUGAGAUCACAUGAUCUUAGGUUAAAAGAUGGCUCCGGCUAUCACUACAGUAUGGGCCCGCGGCGCAUUAGCUAGUUGGUAAGGUAAUGGCUUACCAAGGCGACGAUGCGUAGCCGACCUGAGAGAGGGAUCGGGCACACUGGGACUGAGACACGGCCCAGACUCCUACGGGAGGCAGCAGUAGGGAAACUUCCGCAAUGGACGAAAGUCUGACGGAGCAACGCCGCGUGAGUGAUGAAGGGUUGCGGCUAGUAAAGCUCUGUUGUUAGGGAAGAAACAGUACCGAACGAACUAGGUCGGUACCUUGACGGUACCUAACCAGAAAGCCACGGCUAACUACGUG